UGGGGAAUAUUGGACAAUGGGGGGAACCCUGAUCCAGCAAUGCCGCGUGUGUGAAGAAGGCCUGAGGGUUGUAAAGCACUUUCAGUGGGGAGGAGGGUUGAUUGGUUAAGAGCUGAGCAAUUGGACGUUACCCACAGAAGAAGCACCGGCUAACUCCGUGCCAGCAGCCGCGGUAAUACGGAGGGUGCAAGCGUUAAUCGGAAUUACUGGGCGUAAAGGGUGCGUAGGUGGUUAGAUAAGUUAUCUGUGAAAGCCCUGGGCUCAACCUGGGAAGGCCAGAUAAGACUGUUUGACUGGAGUAUGGGAGAGGGUAGUGGAAUUUCCGGUGUAGCGGUGAAAUGCGUAGAGAUCGGAAGGAACACCGGUGGCGAAGGCGGCUGCCUGGCCUUAUACUGACACUGAAGCACGAAAGCGUGGGGAGCAAACAGGAUUAGAUACCCCCGUAGUCC
RNAcentral lists this ribosomal RNA (449 nucleotides) under uncultured bacterium. RNAcentral describes it as "bacterial SSU rRNA". It matches the Rfam family "Bacterial small subunit ribosomal RNA", at positions 355 to 796 of the family's 1533-position model. The record is from RNAcentral.